GAACUUCUUGAAGCUCCCAUGGGAACUAAUUAUGUGAUUAUCAUCGUCUACCAAUGAGGUUGGACUGCUAUCACAGAGUUUAUUUUCAAUGGGAGCUUCAAGAAGUUCUGGAGAGGAAGAAAGAACCAUAUCUAUACCUGUCUUGUGUUCCAGACUACUAUCAUCUUGCUUCACACUGCUUUCCUCACUUUUAUUUGUCUCAAGUUUAUCAUCCUCCAAAUUAGAGAAAAGUGAAACUUCCAGCUGAGUAGUCAAUGGUUCCAUCUGUUGUUU
RNAcentral lists this unclassified non-coding RNA (273 nucleotides) under Hevea brasiliensis (rubber tree). The record is from RNAcentral. Lineage: Eukaryota; Viridiplantae; Streptophyta; Magnoliopsida; Malpighiales; Euphorbiaceae.